Molecule: non-coding RNA, 476 nt
Filed under: Dialister sp. CAG:486
Lineage: Bacteria; Bacillati; Bacillota; Negativicutes; Veillonellales; Veillonellaceae
Source: Rfam by way of RNAcentral
GACGGCGCCCUGUUUUCCCCUCUCCUGUCAAACGCUAUCAGCCGCCUUUCUGCUGUCUUUGCAUAAACGCUGAAAUCCCAUAUAUUCUCUGCAUUUUCUCAUGUUUUUGGUUGACUGAACUAUGAAUUUAUGGUAUUGUUGAAUCAUGCUCAAUACGAGCAGUGUAAGUCAUUUUUUUAGGAGGAAUUUCCAUGAAAGGUACAGUUAAGUGGUUCAGUGCAGAAAAAGGCUACGGCUUUAUUGAAAGAGAAGAAGGCGGCGACGUUUUCGUUCAUUUCUCUGCUAUUCAGGCUGAUGGCUUCAAAACACUGAAUGAAGGCCAGAAGGUCGAUUUCGAAAUUAUUGAUGGUGCAAGAGGACCUCAGGCUGCUAACGUUAAAGUUGAAGGCUGAUCACUGAACUGACUGCUAUAUAGCGUAAGUUUGUAACCAAAGAUAAAAAGAGAGCCGUGAAUCAUUGGAUUCGCGGCUCUCUUU